RNAcentral lists this small RNA (115 nucleotides) under Sinorhizobium terangae. RNAcentral describes it as "Alphaproteobacterial ar15". It matches the Rfam family "Alphaproteobacterial ar15". The record is from Rfam by way of RNAcentral. Lineage: Bacteria; Pseudomonadati; Pseudomonadota; Alphaproteobacteria; Hyphomicrobiales; Rhizobiaceae.
AGCUGAUGCAGAGUGAUGGUUUUCCUCCCAGUACCAUCGCGUCGGCUGUUCCCCUCUGGAGGUUAGACACCUUCACACCUCAAAACGGGCCUCGGUCUUCCGGCGGCCCGAUUUU